This 317-nucleotide ribosomal RNA is filed under the name Ixodes affinis. Its description in RNAcentral is "partial 12S ribosomal RNA". Lineage: Eukaryota; Metazoa; Arthropoda; Arachnida; Ixodida; Ixodidae. The record is from RNAcentral.
GAUACCCUAUUAUUUUAAGCUAUAUAUUGGUAGUAAUUAAUAAUUUAUGAAAUCAUAAGAUUUUGGCGGUAUUUUAAGCUUAUUAGAGGAAUUUGCUCUGUGAUGGAUACAACGCCUCGAUCUUACUUAAUUUGGUUUUAAAAGUCAGUUUGUAUACCACUAUAUUUAAUUAUAUUGAAUAAUUAUAUUUAAGAUUUUUAUAAAAAAAAAUAUAUUAAGUCAAGGUGCAAUUAAUAAUUAUGAAUGAAGUGAAUUACAUUAAUUUUAAUUUUAUUAAAAUAUUGAAAAAAAAAUUUUUAGGAUUUAAUAGUAAAAUG